GUCGUCAUCGUAUAGUGGUCAGUAUCCCCGCCUGUCAAGCCAUAGCCCGCGGGAGGCCGGGGUUCGAUUCCCCGUGACGGCG
This 82-nucleotide transfer RNA is filed under the name Pleodorina starrii. It matches the Rfam family "tRNA". From Rfam's summary of the family: Transfer RNA (tRNA) molecules are approximately 80 nucleotides in length. Their secondary structure includes four short double-helical elements and three loops (D, anti-codon, and T loops). Further hydrogen bonds mediate the characteristic L-shaped molecular structure. tRNAs have two regions of fundamental functional importance: the anti-codon, which is responsible for specific mRNA codon recognition, and the 3' end, to which the tRNAs corresponding amino acid is attached (by aminoacyl-tRNA synthetases). tRNAs cope with the degeneracy of the genetic code in two manners: having more than one tRNA (with a specific anti-codon) for a particular amino acid; and 'wobble' base-pairing, i.e. permitting non-standard base-pairing at the 3rd anti-codon position. The record is from Rfam by way of RNAcentral. Lineage: Eukaryota; Viridiplantae; Chlorophyta; Chlorophyceae; Chlamydomonadales; Volvocaceae.